Felis catus (domestic cat) is the source of this 5235-nucleotide long non-coding RNA. RefSeq lists it as uncharacterized. Lineage: Eukaryota; Metazoa; Chordata; Mammalia; Carnivora; Felidae. The transcript is spliced from 3 exons. The record is from RefSeq and is a predicted model, not a curated record.
ACCCCCAGCCCCUCGCUCAGGCUUUGGGAGUUGUCGGCUGCGCGCAGCGCGGGCUCUCCUGCCACUUCCCCUCCCCCCAUCCCGGCCGUGGCCUCGCGCAGUCCGCGGGCGUCGCUUCUGCAGGUCGGUCCCCAGGUGAGGACGGGAAACUGGCCGCGGGCCCCGCGAUAAAUGGAGUCCAGGAGGGGGCGGGCGUCAUGAGGCCGCCAGGGCAGGUCUGGCCUCUACCGCCACCCUCACUCCCACCUCCAUUCCGGUACCCGCAGCUGGCCUCCGGCUGUGGGCCGGAUAAAGUGGGGGGUUACCCUGGGGACGUACUGUUGGAGAAAUACGGUACGGUGUUUCUGCCUAGCGAUCACGGUUACCCUCGGGAAAGUGCAUGCUCGCUGCGCUGCCUCGGAGCCUCCCAGCCUCCAGGACGGCCUAGGGCGUCUGACCCCUGACUCGAAUCAGUGACACCCCCAGGUCUGGGCCACCUUCCUGAGGACCGACCUGUGCUUCACUCUCAGGCUGCUGUGGUCCGCAGCAGUCCCGGGACGCUUUGGCACUCCGCGCGGAGGUGGGAAGAGCAAGGCCCAGAGGAACUUGCCCAAGAGGUGGCAGUGAGCCGAUGGUGCCACGCACCCUGCUAACGCCCUUUAACUCACACUCCUGUUGGAUCCUCAGCCUACAGAUGAAGACAUGGACUGUGAGGGGCCACGGGUCCUCCCCGGGUGACUCGGCUGAAAAGAAAGUUGAGGCCAGAGAGGUGGACAAUUCACCCAAGGUCACACAGCAAAUGCACUGGCAAAGACAAAAAGAGAACUGAGACCUAUCUCGCUCCAGAGACUUCUCUUCUCCCAUCCCAGGCUAUGGAGCUUGGCCCCAGGACAGCGUCCCCACUGUCGCUUCACCCUGCUGCUCCUCCCAGGCCACCUGUACCCUUCCCUGCCCCUCAGAGAGGAUCUCCCAGUCAGGAGUCAGGAUGGAGCCAGAACGGCUGGAUGCAGCAGAGGCGGACCCCCGCAUCAGACCUCACACCAGCCUGCAGUCCUGGGACCAGCAGUCCUCACAAGACCACCACUGCUCUCGGUGCUGCAUCUACCCCACCUCCGUGUACCCAGGAAGGGGGAAGCAUCAUCAUCCAAGCUGGCUGCUGGCCUAGCAAGUCAGUGGAGAAGGGAAGCUUCCUCUGGGGGGCGCUCGGCAACCCUGCAUGGGAUACAACUUAAUGGGCCCACUGGUUGGAAACAGCAGGAGUCCCCUGGGCAAAAGUCAAGUGGGCAAGGGGAAGGCAGGAAGUAUGCCCAACGCUGUGCUAAUCUAUUUUAAUUUUGUUUAAUGUUUAUUUAUUUUUGAGAGAGAGAGAGAGAGAGAGAGAGAGAGCAACAGAGCAUGAGUAGGGAGGGGGAGAGAGGAAAGGACACAGAAUCUGAAGCAGGCUCCAGGCUCUGAGCUGUCAGCCCUAAGCCCGAUGCGGGGCUCGAACCCACAAACCGUGAGAUCGUGACCUGAGCUGAAGUCGGAAGCUUAACCGACUGAGCCACCCAGGGGCCCCUGUGCUAAUCUCUUUAAACAGGUGACUUUAUUUAACCCCCAUAGCCCCCCUCCUACUUGGUCCAUGCUACAGAUGGGAAAACAGAGGCGUGGAGAAGUCACUUACUAGAAAUCACGCAGCCCAGCCAGCAGGAGGUGGUGCCCAGGUUCCGGAAAAUAACAAGGUCAUGGGAAUUUGGGAGGCGUCUGUUGCUUCCUGGAGAAGGCUUUGAAACCCUGGGAAGGGGCAGUAGAAGAAGGGUCUGGAGAGAGGGUCCCCUAGCAAGGUGUCAGGUGGGAGCCUGGAGGGAGUGGGUCAGGGCAUCAGACCUCACACAAUUCCCAGGGCAGGAGACAGAUGAAGCCCAGCUCCAGCAGUGACACCUGGCAUUCGCCUCUUCAGCAUCUUCUGUCACUCAGUCCUUACUGUCCUUACCCCCACAACCUCUGGACGAUCCCACUGCACCUAGGCCUAGGGGAUCUUGCAUGGCUCUGGAGGUCCAAGUAGUGACCAGCAGCCAAGUGGGCACAGGCCUGGGGUUGAGCCAAGCUUCCAGCCCACUGUUGGGAGGGGGGAGGCCCAGGACAAAGAUGUGACACUGGCUCCGAGACUAGCAGCGUUGUAAAUAAGAGAGGAAUCCAUCUCGCACCCACCCACCAGGCCAGACUGCUGCCUGCCAGGCUCCUUCCCCGCAGGGCCUUGCCCUCUCCCACAUGACGACUCACAGCUACACGUGGGCUCUAGCCCGUGGGAAGGGGAAAGAAAAAGGGAAGGGAUGCCUCUGCCCUUUAAGGCCACCACGCAGAAGGAGCCACUGUCACUGGGAGAGAACAAGGUUGGGGUGUGAGCUGUGUGGCUGGGUUUGUGUCUGUCUGCCAGUGGGGCUGGGAAGCCAGACACCUGCAGUCCUGUCCUGUCUCCAGCUGCAGAGAUCAGAGCGAGUCACUAUAUAUACUCUGUGGGACUGUUUUCCCCUCUGCACCAAACGUUUGGCCAAAAUAGCCUCUGAGGGGUCCUCAGUGGAAGACUCUGAACCAAUAGUCUCUCGAGGCCAUUGAGGCACAGUCUUGGGGAAGGAAAGGUGAAAUCAGGCUGUGGGUGGCUCCCUCGACUGUACUGGGAGGCCGGGGGCAAGCAAUGCACCCCAGGCCAUUGACACAGCCCCUGAGCGCCCAAACUUUCUUGGAAAAGCUUCUAUGAACUGCUGCUAAUACGUCAGGUAACUUUUUUAUUAAGUGCUUGUUAUACACCAGGCUUGGAGCUAAGGGCUAGCAUUUAUGAGUGUUUUCUAUAUGUCGGGCAUUAUUUUAAGUGCUUUACAACUUCCACUUCGCUUAAGCCACACAACUUCUCUGUGACGCAGACGCUGUUGUUAUCACCACGGGAAUAGCAAACCUGUAAAACAAGAACCAACCACUAUGAAAAAGGAGCAUUCAGAGAACAGGAAAGAACAUUCGAAAACGUAAGCGUUCACAGUAAUCAUGAAAAUCCAACCAAGACUGAAUAGCAGAAUGGACACACCUGAGAACCAAAUCAAAGCGACAGACGGAAAUUAUGAGAGAAAAAUGCCAGAGCCACGGUUCAAUGGAAGGAAUUGAAUUCACAUGCAGAAACGAAGAUGGAUCAAAAUCACCUUCCCAGUGAAAUCCGGCCCCUCCUCGCUCAGGCAGAGAGAUGUUGAUGGAUAACAGGGAGCUGGCCCUUGGCUUCUAUGCUGCAAUUAUCUGUCUUGCCCUGAAGAGGAACUCCUGUGUCAGUCCACAGGCCUCCGAGCUUCUGACUCCCGCGUUCUGGAUGCCUGUCAGCCACAUCUCCCGUUUUCGUACAUCAGCCAUUAUUCCAGUAUUACCGCCUGGACUUUGUUGAUUUUUCUUUUCAUCUUCCUUGUCCACGUGCAACAGAUUUGAGGCCUUCUUCAUCUCAUCAAAUAACGAAAUCAGCCAUUUUCUGAUAUUUACUUCUCUUUCAAGUAAGAUAUUUAUCCCAAGGGGAGAACCAUUUUUUUCCCCCUGCUCUCAUUGAAAUUCAUCAAAACUUUGGAACAAUGCUAUGCUCUGGGAUCGGCCUUUCCAGGUGACUUCAUCUGUAUUCGUGCCUUGUCUGCCUUCUUUUUGCCAGUGACUUGUAAAUUUCCGUCUCCUGCCGGGACCUCUCCCCUGAAUUCCCAUCUUUUGCACCCAGCCACCGGUUUGUAGCUCCACAUGAAUGUCUCUGAAAUACCACCAACGCUCGGUGAUUGCUCUCCCUUGACCCCAGCAGGCUCACCCCUACUAUCUGUGGAACCCGGGGUGAGAGGGAAACACAGGCGCUGUCUACCUGCUUCUCCUCCCGUCCCGGCCCCAUCCAGAGCUUCAGGGCUAGCACACACGUGCAUGAACACUGGGGCCCACGCUCUGUCCACACCCACAUCCACAUCCACAUCCACAAACAGCACCCUUGCUUCUCCUGGGCCUCAGGGUGCACACUCCUGUGAUGCACCCUCCCUCCUGGAGGGGCAGGUCUGGGGGCAGGCUCCAAGUCAUCUGGGUGGGGAACUCUGAGGUCCAGAUCCUGAAAAGUCACCCCAACACCCUCUUCCUGGCCCCACAGCCAACCAUCUACCCGGACCUCUAGAUUUUCUUUCAGCCUCUCCCUCCCUAGUCCCUGGGGUUUGUCCACACCACCUCCCUCUCAUCCAGAGGCCAGAGCCACGGCUCUUCCCACAUGUGCUCUUGUCUGCUCCAAUCCAUCCCAACUUUUGAAAGAUGUUAAUGAGCUGAAGUCCCCAGGUGAGUGGUGUUCCCUUGCACAACACAGACUCCACCCCCUGCGGCCACCCCACACCCCUCCUUGCUCUCGAGGUCAGCCCAUUGACCACGGCAAGCGCGAUGUCAUCCCUCCGGGUCUCCCGUCCAGAGGUGGAGCUGCCUCUCCAUCCCUUGAGUCUGGGCUGGCCUGUGACUCACCUUGGUCCACAGAACGUGGCAGCAGUGAGGUUGUGCCCCUCUGAGCCUGGGCUUCCUAAGGCCCUGCAGCUCCCACCCACACCCCUGCCCAGCUUCGGCAGGACAGGCCCGGGCUGGCUCACAGGGGAACAGGGGGGAGCCCUCUCACACCCAGGACCUCCGAGGCCCCCAGCUCCAACAACCUGCCCGCUGACCUCAGACACGUGAGCAAGCCCUGCCGGGCCCAGGUGGAGAGUCACAGAAUCACAAGCAAAUUCAGUGGUUGUUGUUUUAAGCACUACAUUUUGGGGCCGUUUGUUACAGGGCAAAAGCUGACGGAAACUUCCACGUAGUUCCUUGAGCUCCCCGGGGCCUUCCUGACCUCUGGCCUUUGACGUGGGUCACUGCCCCUCUGGGUCCUGCUUCAUCCUGAUUUGCUGGCUCGGCUCUGCUUCAGCAUUCUGACUUGGGAUUUCCCGCUGUCCCUGUCCCCAACCCCUCUGCUCCUCAGAGCCCCAUCAUCCCUGCCACCUCUCUGCCCUCCUCCUCCCCGCCUCAGCUUCACCCUCUCCAGCUCACAUGGACCCUGGAGGGGCCUCCCUCUAGUGCUUCUGUCCACGAAGCCCUUUGCUCACUCCCUGUGACAGUCAUCAUCUGAUUCACAUCUCUCUGCCCUAAGGGGCCAUGAGCUCCAUGGGGACAGAGACCACCGCAGACCUCCAGUUCCUCCAGUGCCCGGCAGACAGUAGGAGCUCAGUACACGUUUGCUGGGUGAAUAAAUGACUGAACAAAUGA